UAACUUACCUGGCAGGAGAGAAGAUACCAAGAUCACGAGGGGGUUUUCCCAGGGCGGGGCUUACCCAUUGCAAAUCAAAUGUGCUGACCCCUGAGAUUUCCCCAAAUGUGGGAAACUUGACUGUGUAAUUUAUGGUAGUUGGGACUGCAUUUGCAUUGUCCCCU
This 164-nucleotide small nuclear RNA is filed under the name Dasypus novemcinctus (nine-banded armadillo). RNAcentral describes it as "U1 spliceosomal RNA (ENSDNOG00000027074.2)". It matches the Rfam family "U1 spliceosomal RNA". From Rfam's summary of the family: U1 is a small nuclear RNA (snRNA) component of the spliceosome (involved in pre-mRNA splicing). Its 5' end forms complementary base pairs with the 5' splice junction, thus defining the 5' donor site of an intron. Lineage: Eukaryota; Metazoa; Chordata; Mammalia; Cingulata; Dasypodidae. The record is from RNAcentral.